AGAGUUUGAUCCUGGCUCAGGAUAAACGCUGGCGGCGCACAUAGGACAUGCAAGUCGAACGAACUUAACCAUUAGUUUACUAGUGGAGCGGUUAGUGGCGGACUGGUGAGUAACACGUAAGCAACCUGCCUAUCAGAGGGGAACAACAGUUAGAAAUGACUGCUAAUACCGCAUAUGCCUUGAGUAUCACAUGGUACAAAAGGGAAAGGAGCAAUCCGCUGAUAGAUGGGCUUGCGUCUGAUUAGAUAGUUGGUGAGGUAACGGCCCACCAAGUCGACGAUCAGUAGCCGGACUGAGAGGUUGAACGGCCACAUUGGGACUGAGAUACGGCCCAGACUCCUACGGGAGGCAGCAGUCGGGAAUAUUGCGCAAUGGAGGAAACUCUGACGCAGUGGCGCCGCGUGCAGGAAGAAGGUUUUCGGAUUGUAAACUGCUUCAGACAGGGAAGAAACAAGACAGUACCUGUAGAAUAAGCUCCGGCUAACUACGUGCCAGCAGCCGCGGUAAUACGUAGGGAGCAAGCGUUAUCCGGAUUUAUUGGGUGUAAAGGGUGCGUAGACGGGAAAUUAAGUUAGUUGUGAAAUCCCUCGGCUUAACUGAGGAACUGCAACUAAAACUGGUUUUCUUGAGUGCUGGAGAGGAAAGUGGAAUUCCUAGUGUAGCGGUGAAAUGCGUAGAUAUUAGGAGGAACACCAGUGGCGAAGGCGACUUUCUGGACAGUAACUGACGUUGAGGCACGAAAGUGUGGGGAGCAAACAGGAUUAGAUACCCUGGUAGUCCACACCGUAAACGAUGGAUACUAGGUGUAGGGUGUGAUAAACAUUCUGUGCCGUCGCAAACGCAGUAAGUAUCCCACCUGGGGA
Molecule: ribosomal RNA, 863 nt
Filed under: uncultured bacterium
Lineage: Bacteria
Description: bacterial SSU rRNA
Rfam family: Bacterial small subunit ribosomal RNA
Source: RNAcentral